Molecule: ribosomal RNA, 429 nt
Filed under: Bacteroidota bacterium
Lineage: Bacteria; Pseudomonadati; Bacteroidota
Description: Bacteroidetes bacterium partial 16S ribosomal RNA
Rfam family: Bacterial small subunit ribosomal RNA
Source: RNAcentral
UAGGGAAUCUUCCGCAAUGGGCGAAAGCCUGACGGAGCAACGCCGCGUGAGUGAUGAAGGUCUUCGGAUCGUAAAACUCUGUUAUUAGGGAAGAACAAAUGUGUAAGUAACUAUGCACGUCUUGACGGUACCUAAUCAGAAAGCCACGGCUAACUACGUGCCAGCAGCCGCGGUAAUACGUAGGUGGCAAGCGUUAUCCGGAAUUAUUGGGCGUAAAGCGCGCGUAAGCGGUUUUUUAAGUCUGAUGUGAAAGCCCACGGCUCAACCGUGGAGGGUCAUUGGAAACUGGAAAACUUGAGUGCAGAAGAGGAAAGUGGAAUUCCAUGUGUAGCGGUGAAAUGCGCAGAGAUAUGGAGGAACACCAGUGGCGAAGGCGACUUUCUGGUCUGUAACUGACGCUGAUGUGCGAAAGCGUGGGGAUCAAACAGG